RNAcentral lists this ribosomal RNA (334 nucleotides) under uncultured bacterium. RNAcentral describes it as "bacterial SSU rRNA". It matches the Rfam family "Bacterial small subunit ribosomal RNA", at positions 151 to 507 of the family's 1533-position model. The record is from RNAcentral.
GGGAAACCUGAGCUAAUACCGCAUAUGCCCGUUCGGGGUGAAAGUCUUCGGACGCCAGAGGAUCGGCCUGCGGCCCAUUAUUUAAUCCUUGUUGGUGGGGUAACGGCCUACCAAGGGUACGAUGGGUAGCUGGUCUGAGAGGAUGAUCAGCCACACUGGGACUGAGACACGGCCCAGACUCCUACGGGAGGCAGCAGUGGGGAAUAUUGGACAAUGGGGGAAACCCUGAUCCAGCUACGCCGCGUGGGUGAUGAAGGCCUUCGGGUUGUAAAGCCCUGUCGAGGGGGACGAAGUUCUGACGGUACCCCUCAAGAAAGCACCGGCUAACUCCGUG